CAAUAGCGUAUAUUAAAGUUGUUGCAGUUAAAAAGCUCGUAGUUGAACUUCUUGGCAUCCUUUAAGCUGGCUUCGGUCGUUUCAAGGGUGUCAAUCCGCUAGGGAACUACAUUCGCACUUCACUGUGCGGUGUAAGGAACUGGCAUUUUACUUAGAAAAAUUAGAGUGUUCAAGGCAGGCUAUCGCCCUGAAUACACAAGCUUGGAAUAAUGAAAUAGGACUAUUUCCAUUUUAUUGGUUAUUGGAUUUAGUAAUGAUUAAUAGGGACAGUUGGGGGGCAUUUGUAUUUAAUAGUCAGAGGUGAAAUUCUUGGAUUUAUUAAAGACAAACUUAUGCGAAAGCAUUUGCCAAGGAUGUUUUCAUUAAUCAAGAACGAAAGUUAGGGGAUCAAAGAUGAUUAGAUACCAU
RNAcentral lists this ribosomal RNA (408 nucleotides) under uncultured eukaryote. RNAcentral's name for it is "SSU rRNA". It matches the Rfam family "Eukaryotic small subunit ribosomal RNA", at positions 592 to 1018 of the family's 1831-position model. The record is from RNAcentral.